Columba livia (rock pigeon) is the source of this 3597-nucleotide long non-coding RNA. RefSeq lists it as uncharacterized. The transcript has 2 exons. The record is from RefSeq and is a predicted model, not a curated record. Lineage: Eukaryota; Metazoa; Chordata; Aves; Columbiformes; Columbidae.
GUUGCUCUCUGCGCAAGCGCAGUACAGUGACGGUUGGGGAGACCGUUCCCGCUCGCAGGGCAUGACGGGCACUGUAGUUCCCUUGGGAACGUCCCCCGGUAGCCGCAGCUGGCCGGCUUCCGCGGGCGGACUACAACUCCCAGCCACGGGCGCCGGAGCUGUUGGUCGCAGCCGCUGGUCCCUUGUUCCUUCGCCCCCCGAUGCCGAAGCCCGCAGGCCUGGGGUAGGGGUGGCGGGCUCCGGUAGCCGGAGGCCGGGUGUGAGGAGAACUGGGCCCGGCUGCGGGCAGAGAGGGGUUGCCUGGGGGGACUCCGGCGUAUGGCGCACCGCGUUCCCCCUGCUCCAGUGGGUCACCUCCCGGCGGGGACAAACUGGUAAAAUAACUUCGCAAAGUUUCCCGAAGCUGCUGACGGGCAGCGUCCCGAUUGCUCUUCUGGGCGGAUUUACAAGGAAAUCUCACAAAGGAGCAGACAUCGACUUUGGCUUCAUCUUGCAUAACGAAUUUGACCUUGAAUCCAUUACCCGUUUACCACUCUCUGGAAUACAAGAAAAUGGAGAAACGCUCUGGAUGCGACUUCAGGCACCUGUGCCAAGAAACACAUCUCUAUCUCAACACCCAUCCUGUUUACAGAGAUGUUAAAAGGAAUUUUGUGUUCUUUGUCUCUUACAAUGCAAGUUUCUGUUCUGUUAAGCACCUGCAUAAUUUGAAUCCUUCUCAGGAUUCUUCAUCAACAAGGGAAUUUGUUUCAGUAAGAAGCAGACUGAUCCAUUCCCACAGCCUCAAAUAUAAUCCCUGGGCUACUGGACACAUUAAUACUGUGGCAGCGUGCCACCUGCUUCAUUUAUUCACUUGAGAUUCAAUGCUGCUUAGUCCUUGUCAAAAGGUCUCUUUGUGCAACCUCCCGUGGUAAUGCAAAAGGUCCCCCACAGGAAUUUGUGCUAUUCAGUAGAAAAUACAAAGGGGGUGGCUGUAAACACUCUGAUUAGUGUUGGAGCACAGAGAUAUUGUCUCCACAACAUAUUACAUAACCACACAACUUCCAGUUUACCUCCUCCCCUCCAGAAAGAAACAGUUUAACAGCAAGGGCUUACUGGUUUAUUUAAUCUAAGAUCGUAGCUCGCGUUUGGUUAUUUUUUUGUUAUACAAAGGCUGUGUUACUUCUGGCAAAAGAGGAGAGAGUAGUUACUUCAGUAACAUCCCAUAGUAAUUUGAGAUGAUUGCCUGUGAGGAUCUCCACUUGAAGUGACAGUCGCCAGAGGCUCUCAACUCUGAAGAAUAAGUAUUAGCAGAGGCUGUCGCCAACACAAGUUCACACACAAUGGGCCCAUCAGCUAAUGAACCCAGAAUGAAUCUUCUCCCAUUUUUUGAAGACAAACAAGCAAUUGUGUGCAGUGCUGACUAUACAAAUUUACUGCCAGGAGAAACACAUUUGGAUGACUUCUGACUUGCAAAACUCAUUGUGGCCAGAGACCUAUUUACAGAGGCUGGAGCACUUUCUUUCACCCUCCAUGCCCCACAUUCACUCUGUAAAUUCUUACUGCUGUAAGGACAAAGCCAAGCAAUGUUUCUGCAGUGGCGAGCUCUCUGUUUCAAAAUUCAGUCUUUCUGAUGUACCUGAGCCUCAUAAAUGUAACAAAAUAAUAAUGGAGGGGGAGCUUUAGAAAGUAUUUUGUCAGAAGAAAAGGCGAAAAGGCAGAGCUGUAUUCAAUAAAUGAAUGAUACCUUCCCAUUCCCUCUCAGUUACACUACUACUGCAAGACAGCCAGUUUUGGUGUCAAGUUUGUCUUGGAGAGAAGGGAGUCUACAUGGGUUGUACUAUUUUGGGGUAGCUUUAGACACAGAAUUCUCAUUAGCAAUAAGGGAAUACACAAUGGUCAUAAAGAAGUGUGGCUUAUGAAAGACACUGACCACAUACAGAAACACAUGCAAAACAGUGGGAGCCUGAAAGCAUUAUACAAUGGAAAAUCUAGAAGAAACUGAUUGGUUGAUGUCUUUGGGAAAAAACUAUCAGUUAUUCAUAAGCACCACCACACAACAGGAGAAAAAGAGCUGGAAGAGCUGUACAACACUGAACUCUGCCUAUGCACCUCCCAUGAGCACUGUGGAGUCAUAUCAUUCCCAGAUCUCUGCAAUAAGAAGAAGAUUGAGAAAUACUUAAGCAACGAAGACAAUAAUAAAAAUUUGGUGUCUGGCAGCCUUUCAUCUUAGAUUUGUUUGAAAGGCAUCUGCUUUGUUCCUUGUGACAUCUUGUGUAUCUGUUCUCUUGUGUGAGCAUCACAAACUUUAACAAUGCACUGCUCUGGGACAUGUCAUGCCAACAGUGCACAGCUAAUCUUGCUACAAGCGUUUCUUUUGCAAAACCCAACAGACAUCAUGGUCAGCAAAAUGCUUAAUUACAUUAUCAACCCCCCUCUCCAUUAGCACGAAGGAGCACAGCAGCACAACGGCAAGUGGGGUAGCCCCGAUAUGGUACUGAGAGAAACAAGCCCCUGAUGGAGUUGUCCCAUGACUGCCAUUACCCCACGGGGCAGGGGUGACACCCAUCACCCUGAGUUACAGGAGAAGCUCUCCAGAGCACCUGAAAAGGUGGGGUUACUGCCUACAGGAGUAUGGGGCUCCUGGGACAAAGGGGAAGAGCAUUUUGGGAUGGCUCAAGAUUUACUACAGUAUUUGUAGCAGAGAGACCAAAGGCAGGGAAAGCGAUGGAUGAGGGUUUUUUGGGGAGGAACAAAGACGGAGAAAAAAAGGGGGUUAAGAAGCCAGAUGGGGCUGGUCAGCUGCAAACAGGUGGCAGGUCAGUACUUGUCUGGCCAUGCCCUGCACGUACCUCCUAUCACAAGGUCUGUCCUGUCUUUUUAUUAAAGUCUUCUACUGGGUGACGGGCUCUCUGUGCUGAGUGCAUGGAGAUGUUAAGUGCCAGUCAAUGGAGAAGGGACCACAAGUCACAGGGGCCUGCAGGUCUUAGGUGCCCAUGGCUGGAGAGACCAGAGCAUGUAUGUGUUUGGUCUGUGUGUCAGUGAGUCAUCACCAGCAAACAUCAAGCCAGAGCAGCCAGCCAGCAGGAUAAGUGGCUUGGGAGCCAGGUAUCAAAUCAGCCAUAAUUUUGGGAUGGAUACUGGAGAGACCAUAGAUAUUAUUAGAGAAACAAGCAAGUGUUCUUAUAUUCAAGUACUAUAUGUGGAAUCCAUUAAGUGUACUAAAAGCAAGCCAGGAACCCUAGGGAAUGACAGGAAAGCAAUGUCCCAUUAUGGCCAUUUUACUCACUCUCUGUGCACUCUCAGUGUUAUACUGCUGAAAUUAAGGAACAAGAAGCGCCUGUGGGGAGAAACAAAACAAACACCAAAAAACCCAAACCCCUAAAACAAAACACCUCAACAAAAACCUUCUCUGCUUUCAGACAAAGAAUAACAAAAGGCCUUCAACCCCUUCUCAGUCAGAAUCCCAAGAGACUAAGGAUUUGUAUUAUUCUUAUAUGCAUUCCCUUUUUUCUUCCCUUUAAGACCAGUGAUUUACAAUUCUGUCCCAAAGGACAGUGAUAAAACUGGCUGAUGCUUUACUUGGAGAAGAUUCCUACCCAAUAAAGUUUUUAAAGCAUG